This is a long non-coding RNA of Ctenopharyngodon idella (grass carp), 256 nucleotides long. RefSeq lists it as uncharacterized. The transcript is spliced from 3 exons. Lineage: Eukaryota; Metazoa; Chordata; Actinopteri; Cypriniformes; Xenocyprididae. The record is from RefSeq and is a predicted model, not a curated record.
UAGAUCACUUAUCUGCCCACCCAGGCUCUCCUGAGACCGGCGAAAGCGUGUGGCACGUCUGCCAACAGCCCCGGUUCACUGGGUUUGUUGAUGCUCUUCUGUGCAUGAUGAACAGAUUGAGGAGAAGUUCAUGCUAAUACCCAGCCUCAAACACGACAGCCCCUUCACGACAGCAUUGCCUAUUCAACAAUCAUCAAACCACAGAAGAGACGGGAUGAGGCAGACGGAGGCGAAGGGUCACACAAGCAGAUGUCAU